AUGGUUGUGGUUCAGUGGUGGAGCACUUGCCUCACAUGUAUGAGACACUGGGUUCAAUCCCCAGCACCACA
Ictidomys tridecemlineatus (thirteen-lined ground squirrel) is the source of this 71-nucleotide non-coding RNA. Lineage: Eukaryota; Metazoa; Chordata; Mammalia; Rodentia; Sciuridae. The record is from Rfam.